Molecule: long non-coding RNA, 1238 nt
Organism: Dermacentor andersoni
Lineage: Eukaryota; Metazoa; Arthropoda; Arachnida; Ixodida; Ixodidae
Source: RefSeq, a predicted model, not a curated record
UAUGUGCCAUGGAAAUUUGAACUUCUUUAAGUGUAGUUAUAAAAUGGUUAAGUAUGUUGAUUAGAUGAUGCAAGUAUGGGGCAAUGGCAGUUAUAUGUAGUUGCACUGGCCCACUCGCCUGUAAAGCUCUGCCACUCUGUGCGUAUUCUUGUACUCUCUUUUAUGCUCCUUCCUUUAACUGGAGUGCGGAAAUUUGCAUGUGCUUUCAUGCUUUUACACUAUUUGUAGUUUUUCCUUUUUUUUCGGCGCUUUCUUUUAUUGCUUGACUCGCGACGAGAUGCAGCCGGCGCCACGUAAAGGCGCCAACCUCUAAUUUAAAUUCACAUCAUAGGGAAAAAAGAGAAAGCAGCAGACAAGCAGCCUCGAAUAUUAAACCCACGGGAGCACCUCUUUCAGUUAUGACGAGCACAAAGUAAAUUAUAUGUACUCACGUAUUUAACGACUGUUCGCAACCGCAAAGCGCAGUGUACGCAGAAUUUUUGUAUAGAACGAAAUGACUGUAUUCACAGAGGUACAACCUUGAGAGGUUAAUAGGGGCGGUAAGCAUGGAAAAACAGGCGCUAGGAGGAAUUCUAUUGUUGCCGCUAUGAGGAAGGAGGGAGCUCGCGCCGGCAGUGUUCAACUAGCACGAGUCCACUUGCACGCACCGAGAUGCUGCUACGUUGGACCUGUGCGUUCUUCUGGCUAUGACCCACCUUCGCAUGCUGCAAAUCAAGGCAGUGGCACAAACGGACAUCAAGUUUGCAGCCGUGAACUUCGCACCCCCUCCCCCUCCCAUACACACGGGCGCACAUGCAUACACACAUACACUUCUGCCUUGCAGCCGGGCCCUCUCAUAGCCGGUUCUAAGGGAGGCUUUUGUCCUAUUUUUCUGCUGUUAAGUAAAAACGCUGAACAAGUCGUUUGAUUCGCUGGGGGAUGACGCGAACUGGCUGAAGAGAAGCGUUUCAAAUCAUUUCCAGGGGACGCAACACCAACAAAAAUGAAGAAAUAUUAUAAACAGAAAAAUAAAAAAUAAAGAACUAGCUCAUUAUUAUAGUGCGCAUUUAGGAGGCAUUUAACCAGAACCUCCCUGCCUUCUUCUUAUCUCUUUUCCUCCCUCCUCCUCCUAGGAGGCAUUUAAGAGGAAAGCUACAUUUCUUGACGCUUAAACACUCUCCUGUGUGCCUCUAAAGGAAAGUCGAAAACGAUUACGUGUUCCUUUGUGUCAAAUUUAUGAAAAGAGUUUUGUUUCUGAA